AUUUUUCUAGUAUAAAAGUACAUUUGACUUCCAAUCAAAAGGUUUGAUUAAUAAUCAAGAAAAAUA
This 66-nucleotide transfer RNA is filed under the name Conophymacris viridis. RNAcentral's name for it is "tRNA-Gly". It matches the Rfam family "tRNA". From Rfam's summary of the family: Transfer RNA (tRNA) molecules are approximately 80 nucleotides in length. Their secondary structure includes four short double-helical elements and three loops (D, anti-codon, and T loops). The record is from RNAcentral. Lineage: Eukaryota; Metazoa; Arthropoda; Insecta; Orthoptera; Dericorythidae.